This 254-nucleotide ribosomal RNA is filed under the name uncultured bacterium. RNAcentral describes it as "partial 16S ribosomal RNA". It matches the Rfam family "Bacterial small subunit ribosomal RNA", at positions 79 to 334 of the family's 1533-position model. The record is from RNAcentral.
CUUUCUUUGCUGGCGACCGACGCACGGGUGAGUAACACGUAUCCAACCUGCCCUUUACUCGGGGAUAGCCUUUCGAAAGAAAGAUUAAUACCCGAUAGCAUAAUGAUUCCGCAUGGUUUCAUUAUUAAAGGAUUCCGGUAAAGGAUGGGGAUGCGUUCCAUUAGGUUGUUGGUGAGGUAACGGCCCACCAAGCCUUCGAUGGAUAGGGGUUCUGAGAGGAAGGUCCCCCACAUUGGAACUGAGACACGGUCCAA